Long non-coding RNA from Coregonus clupeaformis (lake whitefish), 708 nucleotides. RefSeq lists it as uncharacterized. The transcript has 6 exons. NCBI's taxonomy places the organism in Eukaryota, Metazoa, Chordata, Actinopteri, Salmoniformes, Salmonidae. The record is from RefSeq and is a predicted model, not a curated record.
UCUGUAUAAAUGUCUGUGAGAACAAAGAGCGAGUCGAAUUGGUUUUCCCAUGCAUGUUCAAAUAAAGCUUUUUGUAUAUUGAGAUCGGACUGCCUUCUUAGUGAUUUUUCCACCACAAUUCUUGGUGCUAUGACCCGGAUCGCUGCAGCAGGACCCAAACCCAUAUCGGCCCGCUGGGAACCUGACAACUUCUCCUGGCCAAAACUAAGAGAGACAUUCUCUUUAGGCUGCUCAUUGUAAGUCCCGCCUCCAGCCAGUGAGUUUUGGUAAAGACAGAGAAUGGACAGUUCGUGAUUAUCCACAGAAGUAUUUCUGCGUGCAUCUAAAAGAAAAGGUGUUCCGACACCAAGACGCCCAUCUUUGAAGCCCUGGAGCAGAUCACUGGAUACCUGGCUGGAACACAUGCUUGAUCCACAAGAGGGCGGCAAAGGUGCAAACAUGCCGCCUAACAUGCAAUCCAGCACCACUCAAUUUCAGGUCCAUAUCCAUAAAGACACCAGCAAUAAUAAGAAAAAACAAAACACUGACAUCUAUAUCCUCCUCCAAAAAACAAGGAAAUGUUCUGAGUUACUGGUGCUUCUCUCUUGGAUUCAGCAUCAUCCUCACCAGCUGGAACCUCUCCCCCCUCUCCUCCUUUACCUCUGAAAUGUAAAUGUGAGUGUGUUAUCAUCUCUGACUGUGAGUCAUCUGUCUAAAACACAUUGACUA